This 253-nucleotide ribosomal RNA is filed under the name uncultured bacterium. RNAcentral's name for it is "partial 16S ribosomal RNA". It matches the Rfam family "Bacterial small subunit ribosomal RNA", at positions 524 to 776 of the family's 1533-position model. The record is from RNAcentral.
CACGGAGGCCCCGAGCGUUGUUCGGAAUUACUGGGCGUAAAGAGUGCGUAGGCGGCGAGGCAAGUCAGAUGUGAAAGCCCGGGGCUCAACCCCGGAAUUGCAUCCGAUACUGCCUUGCUUGAGGGUUGGAGAGGAGACUGGAAUUCACGGUGUAGCAGUGAAAUGCGUGGAUAUCGUGAGGAAGACCAAUGGCGAAGGCAGGUCUCUGGACAACUCCUGACGCUGAGGCACGAAGGCCAGGGGAGCGAAAAGG